Cannabis sativa is the source of this 78-nucleotide small nucleolar RNA. RefSeq annotates it as small nucleolar RNA snoR14. NCBI's taxonomy places the organism in Eukaryota, Viridiplantae, Streptophyta, Magnoliopsida, Rosales, Cannabaceae. The transcript has a single exon. The record is from RefSeq and is a predicted model, not a curated record.
GCGAGGUGACGAUAAAAAUUCAAUAGUCAAUUGCUGAUAACAAUGAUGUUAUUGUGAAUCUCGACAGGUUCCGAUCGC